UACAGAGGUCUCAAGCGUUGUUCGGAUUCAUUGGGCGUAAAGGGUGCGUAGGCGGCGCGGUAAGUCGGGUGUGAAAUCUCGGGGCUUAACUCCGAAACUGCAUUCGAUACUGCCGUGCUUGAGGACUGGAGAGGAGGCUGGAAUUUACGGUGUAGCGGUGAAAUGCGUAGAUAUCGUAAGGAAGACCAGUGGCGAAGGCGGGUCUCUGGACAGUUCCUGACGCUGAGGCACGAAGGUCAGGGGAGCAAACGGG
Molecule: ribosomal RNA, 253 nt
Filed under: uncultured bacterium
Lineage: Bacteria
Description: partial 16S ribosomal RNA
Rfam family: Bacterial small subunit ribosomal RNA
Source: RNAcentral